UGUUAAAGAGCACAAGGAAA
RNAcentral lists this unclassified non-coding RNA (20 nucleotides) under Chlamydomonas reinhardtii. Its description in RNAcentral is "small RNA Cre_3648". The record is from RNAcentral. Lineage: Eukaryota; Viridiplantae; Chlorophyta; Chlorophyceae; Chlamydomonadales; Chlamydomonadaceae.